This 326-nucleotide ribosomal RNA is filed under the name uncultured haloarchaeon. Its description in RNAcentral is "bacterial SSU rRNA". It matches the Rfam family "Archaeal small subunit ribosomal RNA", at positions 354 to 679 of the family's 1478-position model. Lineage: Archaea; Methanobacteriati; Methanobacteriota; Halobacteria; Halobacteriales; Halobacteriaceae. The record is from RNAcentral.
ACUGCACGCGAGUGCGAUAGGGGGACUCCGAGUGCGAGGGCAUAUAGUCCUCGCUUUUCUGGACCGUAAGGAGGUCCAAGAAUAAGGGCUGGGCAAGACCGGUGCCAGCCGCCGCGGUAAUACCGGCAGCCCGAGUGAUGGCCGCGAUUAUUGGGCCUAAAGCGUUCGUAGCCUGCCGGACAAGUCCGUUGGGAAAUCCACGCGCUCAACGCGUGGGCGUCCAGCGGAAACUGUCCGGCUUGGGGCCGGAAGACUCGAGGGGUACGUCUGGGGUAGGAGUGAAAUCCCGUAAUCCCGGAAGGACCGCCAGUAGCGAAAGCGCCACG